AACAUACGUGUGCAUGUGUCUUUAUAGCAGCAUGAUUUAUAGUCCUUUGGGUAUAUACCCAGUAAUGGUAUGGCUGGGUCAAAUGGUAUUUCUAGUUCUAGAUCCCUGAGGAAUCGCCACACUGACUUCCACAAUGGUUGAACUAGUUUACAGUCCCACCAACAGUGUAAAAGUGUUCCUAUUGAAGAAGAUUUUCAAUAUAUGAAUUUUAGGGGGACAUAAACUUUCAGCCUGUAGCAGGCAAUGUAAAACGACAUGGAUAAAACUUGAAGAAAUUAUGCUAAGUGAAAAAUGCCAGGUAUUGCAGCACAAAUACUGCAUCAUUUUGCUCAUGUGAAGUAUUUAAAAUAAUCAAACUCAUAGAAGCAGAGAAUGGAAUGGUGCUUACCAGAGGUCAGGAGGGAAAGUUUUCAUCCAGUGGAUAUAAUGUUUCAUUGAUGGAAGAUAAAUAAGUACUAAAAAUCUGCUGUAUAUCAUCGUGUCUAUAAUUAAAAGCACUGUAUUAUGCAUUUUAAAAAUUUGUCAAGAGGGUGGAUCUUGUGUUAAAUCUUCUUGACAAUUUCUUUAAAGUAAAACUCUGUUGGCAUAUUUUAUAGUGUUGUGUUUGAAAGCAUAUUUCCGACAGAACAGAAACUUCAUCAACAUAGUAGCUUUAAUGAAAGACUUGAUACAUAAAAAUAGUCAACAAUUAAAUCUAACAUAAAACAUCUACUCCUCAGGUACACUAAUCAUAUUUAUGUGUACUGAAAUAUUUUCUGCUUUUAAAAUGACCACACACACACAUAUACACACAGACAUACAGUAAGAGUUAUAGUAGUAAUUAGUAUCAGCAAUAUGUUUAAUCUACAUGGAAUGAUGGAAGGAGCUUUGGGAAAUAUUUACAAGAUUAGUGCAAUCAAGUAUAUAUUUGAAACAUCAAGCUGAAGUAGUGUGGAGUAGUCCCGGGGGGUAAAGGGAAGACAACAACUGGAAGAGACCCAUGCAUUUUUGCCAAAGGAAAACCUGCCAUAAACAUCAAGAUUGAAUAGCAGGUUUAGAAAUGAAGGUGAUUUGUACUACAAUUGGAGAGGCAUAAACCUUUAACAUGGCCUGGUGGAAGUGGUGUUUAGAAAGCUUCUCACACAGUCUCAAUUUCUUCCCCUCCCUUCCAUAUUAUACUCAUAGAAAAGAAUUCCCUGUGUUCAGAUUAUACUUAAAGAGUUAGAAUUUAUACUCUGAAACCUGAUGGGCGCAGUGUUUACAUAAAUUAUUUGAAAUUCUUCUGUAUAGGAAAUUUGUUUAUCUUCCUCCGUUUAUUUGCAUAGUCAAUCAUGCAUUUAUAUCAGUAUAAACUCUUGGAUACUUAUUUUAUAUUUUGGUCAAGGCUUCUGUAACCAAUACCUAAAAAUGUGAAAGUGGCUUUAAACUGGGUAAUAGGUAAAGGCUUGAGAAUACUGAGGGCAGGAUCACUGCCCCGUUGGUUCUGGAAGGAGAACACCGAACCAAGGAUUAUUCUCAAGACUUGAAAUCUAAUGAAACUUGCUUUGCUAAGUUUUGAACUUGCUUAGAACCUAUCACCCUUUUCUUGCAUCUAAUUUAUCCCUUUUAGGAUAAGAAUGUCUAUCCUAUGCCUGUUCCACAGUUGUAUUUUAAAAGCAUACUACUUUUCUGAUGUCACAGGUUCACAGCUGUAGAG
This 1675-nucleotide long non-coding RNA is filed under the name Homo sapiens (human). RNAcentral describes it as "HSALNT0303782". Lineage: Eukaryota; Metazoa; Chordata; Mammalia; Primates; Hominidae. The record is from RNAcentral.